This is an RNA transcript of Cucurbita pepo subsp. pepo (vegetable marrow), 2580 nucleotides long. RefSeq lists it as uncharacterized. Lineage: Eukaryota; Viridiplantae; Streptophyta; Magnoliopsida; Cucurbitales; Cucurbitaceae. The record is from RefSeq and is a predicted model, not a curated record.
AAGAUAACUAUGUUGAAUAAAAUAUAAGAGACUUUGUAAAAUUUCAUUGUAAAUUGGGCGUUUAGUUGUGGGUGGAAAUGCUAUAAUUUGAGGGGAAACAAUCUGCUUCUUCGAUUUCUCCGCUCUGAGAGAUUUCAGAAAUCCCAAAUUCUUGUUUCGAGGUUUGAAGUCGGUGUUCAGCGGAUUUUCCCCAUUUUGUUUUGAGUGGCGAUCUAGCGAAUGACGGGCGAUCUCGGUUUUCUUAUCCGAUCAAUCUUUUGAACUCGAUUUAUUUUUUUGUUGUCGUUGUGGCUCGCAUUUUUAGAGCAACAACUGAUAUAUUCGUAGAGGAGUGGGAUAAGAUUCUUGAUUGUGUCUGGGCCUGAAAGUGACUUCUGAGCUUUUGCAAAUAGCUUGAGUGAACUUUGUUUGGAUGCUUUCUGGGUUCUGAGUAAUUGGAGAAGAAAUUUUGGAGAACUUUCAUAUUGAUCGUUUGAGAUCUAGAUAGGAGUUUUCGUAGUUUUUUCUUUUUACUUUUAUUUAUUUAUUUAUUUAUUUUUAAUUUUCCAUAUGGAGGUUACUGAUCAAACAGGCCCCAUCAGCCACUCCUUUCCAUUUUGAGAUUCUACCUGUAAAUUUUAUGGGGAAAACCUCUUAGUUUCCUUAUUAAAUUUUCCCCCAAAAGUUUUUCACUCGUCUGGAGCAGAACCGAUGGCCGUGUCUUUCAGCCGUUUUUCAUUGUGGUUUUGGAAGGGGAAGGAGAAAGAGUCUGUCGCAAAUGGGGCGCCUUCAAAUUCUUCCUCCGAGGUUGGUACUGGUCUGAGAGAACCGGAGAGUCUCAAGUUGAAGAGGGUGGACUUGGGUUCAUCUUCAAAGAAGGUCAAGAACCAGAAAUGGCGAAGUAAGAAAGAAACAACGAGGAUUGACUGGGAAUACGAUUUUCUGAUUGUACCACCUGGCGGUGAUGACAUGCAAAUGCCUGACUCUGCUGAUGAGGCCGAUUGGUCUAUUGGUUGGUUGGAGCCUCACGGUCCUGGCUUUCAGAGUGAUGAUAGUUUUGCCGUUCUGGUCCCUUCCUAUAGCAAUCGUUGCAAAGAGGUGGUGGAGGGUUCAAACGUCGAGCUUUUGGCUGCCAUAAAAAACCUUCAACAUGAAUUCUCACCUGAGAGCAAGAAGUAUAUGGAACUGUGGCUUUCUUCUUCCCUGCAAAUCUCGGAAACUUGAUGUGCUUUCGGCGACGAUGAUGAAGGGCAGGUUCUCUGAUUACCGCAAAGUUCAACGUCAUCUUGAGCUGAAGUUUACAAAUUAGACGAACUCAAGUCUUGUUUUGUGCAUAUCGUGUAAACUUGCGUUACAUUCGCCUCAUCUUCAAGGCAUUGCAAGUCUGCAAACACGUGGGGGAGGUUUUCAAAAUUGACCGUGUAUUUCGAUUGGAAAAAGAUUCAAUCACGGAGAUUACUCGUUCUGGAAAUGCUACCUGGAACUAAUUUGGAUUCGUCUGUUCCAGUAAUGCAAUGAGGAGGAGUGAAGAUUCUGGCGAGUCUCGCCGACUCUUCCACCAGUUGAGAAAUUUGUUUGUCGUGCUGUUUCGGACUCACAAUCCAGUCAAAUCAACGAAAGCACCAAAACCUGACAGAGAUCUUCCCCGUGAUUAAUCGAAAUUUAGAUGUGAAUGAGAAGAACAAAAAGGAGCGAAUGGAAUUACCAAAUUUCUAGCUCCGAUGGUGCAGAAGCGAUUAACGACAAUGAUAAGGACGAGGUCGGUUUCACGUCACGGGACAAAACGAAAGGUUGUCGACUCACCGGAAGACGAGAGUCAGGGAGGGAGAGGACAUUGGUGACGUUGAGACGACGCCUAAUUGGGAGCUGUUUUUGUUUUUGUUUUUGUUUUUGUUUUUUCGAUUCACUCAAUAGAUAAUUUUCUUACAAAAACAAAAUACGUCAUUGUCUCUAUCAAUAUCCAAUCUUAUUAUUCUAUUUACGCAAUCUUAUUAUUAUAUUUACUUCUGUAAGAAAGUAAGAUUUCCAGACCUCAAAAGGCAUCAUAUUCAUCCAAAAACCGCAGCAGAGAAGCGAUUUUUAGCUGCCCCGACUUGUUUAUCCAAAAACAGGUCCAUCGCUGCAAGUCAACCACCGAUUGUUGAGUUUCAGUCUCCGCCAUGUGUAACGGCCACCACCGAUCUUUGUUCAGAGGUACCAUUUCUCCUAACCAGACCUCCGUACCGGAAAACGGCGACGCUUCCGUUGUGGACAAUCUACGGGGUCGAUUAGCGGAAACAGAGUCGCGGCUGGCUCAAGUUAGGGCUCGAGAGGCGGCGCUCAGCCGACUCUUGGAGGAAAUGAAACGAUUAGUUUGUGUGAUGGAGAUCCUCGAGAACUACCUGAAACGGCGGUACAGAGACCGCCAAGAAUAUGUGGUUCGUCUCCUCGCUCCUGUAUCUCGAAAAUAGAAAUUCCUCUUCUUCAUCGCUGUCUGUAAUCUUAGCGGUACCAACCGAAAACUCGUUUUGAUUACUUGCUUCUUCGUUCUUCUUAUUCGCAAUUCUUGUUGACUAUAUUCUCCACCAAAUCUAUGGAUUUAUUUAUUCGCUCUUGAUUUCA